UGCGCAGGCGGUUAUAUAAGACAGAUGUGAAAUCCCCGGGCUUAACCUGGGACCUGCAUUUGUGACUGUAUAGCUAGAGUACGGCAGAGGGGGAUGGAAUUCCGCGUGUAGCAGUGAAAUGCGUAGAUAUGCGGAGGAACACCGAUGGCGAAGGCAAUCCCCUGGGCCUGUACUGACGCUCAUGCACGAAAGCGUGGGGAGCAAACAGGAUUAGAUACCCUGGUAGUCCACGCCCUAAACGAUGUCAACUGGUUGUUGGGUCUUCACUGACUCAGUAACGAAGCUAACGCGUGAAGUUGACCGCCUGGGGAGUACGGCCGCAAGGUUGAA
This 330-nucleotide ribosomal RNA is filed under the name uncultured bacterium. Its description in RNAcentral is "bacterial SSU rRNA". It matches the Rfam family "Bacterial small subunit ribosomal RNA", at positions 568 to 898 of the family's 1533-position model. The record is from RNAcentral.